This 500-nucleotide long non-coding RNA is filed under the name Vitis vinifera (wine grape). Its description in RNAcentral is "long non-coding RNA (VVIN_LNC006784)". The record is from RNAcentral. Lineage: Eukaryota; Viridiplantae; Streptophyta; Magnoliopsida; Vitales; Vitaceae.
CCCUCAAUUUUGUCCCUUUAACACAUGUCUUUAAAAUUCGUUUUCAAUGCUCCACAAUAGUUCCUUGGUGGCCCAUGGCUACUCAUACCACUUACCUUUUUCUGAGUCACCUCGGAGAUUUUGGUUGAGAGAUUAUUUGAUCCCUUAUUGUGACCCUUGGCAGCCCUAACUUAGACUUAGGCUUUUCUUGUUUUUUUUUUAGGAUAACUUUUAGAUACACUUGGCCCAUUAGGCACCUCCCUAGGCCCACUUAGUCUCAUCAUAGGCCGUUUAGGCACACUUGGCCCAUUUGGACAUUUUUAGUGUGACUUGUAUGACUUGCAUGGUUACAUGGCUUUUGGGCUCGACUUUUGUUUAUUGGUUUAUUUUUAUUUUAUUUUAUUUUAUUUUAUUAUUCUAUUUUAUUUUAUUUUAUUUUUUUUAGUUUUAGUUUUAUGAUUAUCAUUCACUUUUUAUUGGUUAUUUUCCUCUUUAUAUUAUUUUCCUUAACUUAUUUAUUU